Schistosoma haematobium is the source of this 45-nucleotide non-coding RNA. The record is from Rfam. Lineage: Eukaryota; Metazoa; Platyhelminthes; Trematoda; Strigeidida; Schistosomatidae.
AUCCAAACGACGAGUCCAUAAUAGAACGAAACGCAAGUCCUGAAU